This is a non-coding RNA of Cinara cedri, 297 nucleotides long. The record is from the annotation of a GenBank genome assembly. NCBI's taxonomy places the organism in Eukaryota, Metazoa, Arthropoda, Insecta, Hemiptera, Aphididae.
AAAUUUUAUUGGGAUAGUACUUUAAGAAGAUCAUUUUAUGAUUUUACACGCAGUUUUCAUAAUUGAGAAAAUCCGAGAAAAGACGUGAAAUGAAAAUGGACAAAUUUAUGGCAUAUUCAAUAAUUUAAACGUUGUUUUUUUGUUGUUGAAAAUAUUCAUAUGGAUUUGACAUUUUGAUAGAAAAACUAUAUUUGCCUUUUCUAGACGUCGACAAAUUUUCAAAAUAUUUUAGCUAUUUAUUUAGACAUUUUAAUUUUGCGAGCUUUUUACAUAAUAUUUAUUCGAAAGGUACUCUAU